Molecule: ribosomal RNA, 454 nt
Filed under: Aeromonas sp. R-22837
Lineage: Bacteria; Pseudomonadati; Pseudomonadota; Gammaproteobacteria; Aeromonadales; Aeromonadaceae
Description: bacterial SSU rRNA
Rfam family: Bacterial small subunit ribosomal RNA
Source: RNAcentral
AUUGAACGCUGGCGGCAGGCCUAACACAUGCAAGUCGAGCGGCAGCGGGAAAGUAGCUUGCUACUUUUGCCGGCGAGCGGCGGACGGGUGAGUAAUGCCUGGGAAAUUGCCCAGUCGAGGGGGAUAACAGUUGGAAACGACUGCUAAUACCGCAUACGCCCUACGGGGGAAAGCAGGGGACCUUCGGGCCUUGCGCGAUUGGAUAUGCCCAGGUGGGAUUAGCUUGUUGGUGAGGUAAUGGCUCACCAAGGCGACGAUCCCUAGCUGGUCUGAGAGGAUGAUCAGCCACACUGGAACUGAGACACGGUCCAGACUCCUACGGGAGGCAGCAGUGGGGAAUAUUGCACAAUGGGGGAAACCCUGAUGCAGCCAUGCCGCGUGUGUGAAGAAGGCCUUCGGGUUGUAAAGCACUUUCAGCGAGGAGGAAAGGUUGAUGCCUAAUACGUAUCAGCUG